AAUGGGAGGAAAAGAAAAUAACAAUGAUUCCCCUAGUAACGGCGAGUGAACAGGGAAAAGCUCACAGUUGGAACCUAGCUGCCUUAGGUAGUUCGGAUUGUAAACUGAAAAAGUGUUAUCCAGGCUAGCCGAGUAAAUAAGUUUCUUGGAACAGAACAUCAUGGAGGGUGAGAAUCCCGUCUUUGGCUUGAGCAUAGUCUUUUGUGUUGCACUUUAACGAGUCAGGUUGUUUGGGAAUGCAGCCUAAAGUGGGAGGUAAAUCCCUCCUAAAGCUAAAUAUUGGCGAGAGACCGAUAGCAAACAAGUACCGUGAGGGAAAGAUGAAAAGAACUUUGAAAAGAGAGUUAAACAGUAUGUGAAAUUGCUAAAAGGGAAGCGUUUGAAGACAGACUAGCUUGGUUAUAAUCAGCCUGGAUUUUUCUUGGUGUACUUGUAGCCUAUGCUUGUCAACAGCAGUUUGGUUUGGCUGAAAAAACUGAUAGUAAGGUGGCUCUCUUCGGGGAGUGUUAUAGACUGUUAGAAAAUCAGUUGGACUGGACUGAGGAAUGCAAUGCAGCUUGCCUUGGGGUGAACCAGAUUGGAUAGGAACCAUUGUUCUUUGAAGGUUUGGGUAGCUCUUCGAACUGUAUUUAGGUUGUUGGCUUAAUCCGUCUUUAAACGGCCCGUCUUGA
RNAcentral lists this ribosomal RNA (671 nucleotides) under Circinella umbellata. RNAcentral describes it as "eukaryotic LSU rRNA". It matches the Rfam family "Eukaryotic large subunit ribosomal RNA", at positions 48 to 657 of the family's 3401-position model. Lineage: Eukaryota; Fungi; Mucoromycota; Mucoromycetes; Mucorales; Lichtheimiaceae. The record is from RNAcentral.